This 475-nucleotide ribosomal RNA is filed under the name uncultured bacterium. RNAcentral's name for it is "partial 16S ribosomal RNA". It matches the Rfam family "Bacterial small subunit ribosomal RNA", at positions 29 to 524 of the family's 1533-position model. The record is from RNAcentral.
AUUGAACGCUGGCGGAAUGCUUUACACAUGCAAGUCGAACGGCAGCACGGGGGCAACCCUGGUGGCGAGUGGCGAACGGGUGAGUAAUACAUCGGAACGUGCCCAGUCGUGGGGGAUAACGUAGCGAAAGCUACGCUAAUACCGCAUACGAUCUCUGGAUGAAAGCGGGGGACCGCAAGGCCUCGCGCGAUUGGAGCGGCCGAUGGCAGAUUAGGUAGUUGGUGGGGUAAAGGCUCACCAAGCCGACGAUCUGUAGCUGGUCUGAGAGGACGACCAGCCACACUGGGACUGAGACACGGCCCAGACUCCUACGGGAGGCAGCAGUGGGGAAUCUUGCGCAAUGGGGGCAACCCUGACGCAGCCAUGCCGCGUGAACGAUGAAGGCCUUAGGGUUGUAAAGUUCUUUUACCCGUGACGAUGAUGACGGUAACGGGGGAUAAGCUCCGGCUAACUUCGUGCCAGCAGCCGCGGUAAU